AACGAACGCUGGCGGCAUGCCUAACACAUGCAAGUCGAACGAGACCUUCGGGUCUAGUGGCGCACGGGUGCGUAACGCGUGGGAACCUGCCCUUAGGUUCGGAAUAACUCCCCGAAAGGGGUGCUAAUACCGGAUAAUGUCUUCGGACCAAAGAUUUAUCGCCUUUGGAUGGGCCCGCGUUGGAUUAGCUAGUUGGUAGGGUAAAAGCCUACCAAGGCGACGAUCCAUAGCUGGUCUGAGAGGAUGAUCAGCCACACUGGGACUGAGACACGGCCCAGACUCGUACGGGAGGGAGCAGUGGGGAAUAUUGGACAAUGGGCGAAAGCCUGAUCCAGCAAUGCCGCGUGAGUGAUGAAGGUCUUAGGGUUGUAAAGCUCUUUUACCCGGGAUGAUGAUGACAGUACCGGGAGAAUAAGCUCCGGCUAACUCCGUG
RNAcentral lists this ribosomal RNA (433 nucleotides) under uncultured bacterium. RNAcentral's name for it is "partial 16S ribosomal RNA". It matches the Rfam family "Bacterial small subunit ribosomal RNA", at positions 29 to 507 of the family's 1533-position model. The record is from RNAcentral.